Molecule: long non-coding RNA, 529 nt
Filed under: Manihot esculenta (cassava)
Lineage: Eukaryota; Viridiplantae; Streptophyta; Magnoliopsida; Malpighiales; Euphorbiaceae
Description: long non-coding RNA (MESC_LNC004446)
Source: RNAcentral
GAUAGAUGGGUUAGUUGCUUAAUCUUAGGGAUUGUAUAAUCAUAGGCUUGAUUUUCCUUCCUGUUUAGAUAUUGUCUCUCAUGUAUAAAUAGAUUGUAAUCUCUAUUGUGAGAUAAUAACAAUUAUUAUAUUUCUACAUGGUAUCAGAGCCUUUCUCGUAGAGAUUUAAUUUUUUCUCUCUCUCGUCAAGUUUUAAAAUUUUUUUUGGAGACUUAGGGUUCUGUUCAUUUGGGUUACCCAUAAAGGGUAACAUUUGGAUCUCACCGUCGUUAGAGUCGCCACACCGUCCCCUUGUCAGAUCUAAAGUUUGUUUGCCGUUCGGGUGUUGGGUGGAGGUGUUUUAGGUACUAUUCAUAUACAGGUACUGUUCACGUGGUACUGUUCACGCCGGGUACUGUUUUCUGAUUCUGUGUUUCUUUUGUUGCUAUCGUUUUGGGUUGGUUGUCCUUAUGGCUGAAGUUAAAACCACCACCGUAACUGAUGUGAUUCCUAUUAUGACUAAAACCACGGAACACAAAUUGAAUGGAUC